This 2593-nucleotide long non-coding RNA is filed under the name Orbicella faveolata. RNAcentral describes it as "uncharacterized LOC110047692". The record is from RNAcentral. Lineage: Eukaryota; Metazoa; Cnidaria; Anthozoa; Scleractinia; Merulinidae.
CAGCCAAUAUUCGGCGUUUAUAUAAUAAAGCGCGAUCGGUUUCUGUCGCCAGACAAAUGGCUCAUCACACAAACAAACGUUCGUCAUCGAGGGCCGGCGUAUGUUACAGCUCUGUUGUUAACAUUGUUGUUCAGUGUCAUUCUCAAUAAUUGAAAUUAUCCAAACAAUGUAAAAAACUAACGAAGUAAAUUUUACAGAUGGGUGAGGAUUUUAUUUAUAUCAAAUCACUCGAACACGCCGCAUAAGCCUACACUAUACGUUUGUACUGUUUCGCACAUUAUUUGGGUGAAAAACGUAGCUGGUCAGGGGUGGAUUUACAUUAAAUCGUUGGCGUCAGAUGGUCAGAAACCAUCAGCAGCUAAAAUCUCCGGAGGAAAACACAGGAGGAGAGGAUACUCAAACUACCCAGUACCAGCUGAUAGUUUUAGUACAAAGAACACUCAAAGAGAAUGAAUGAUAAUCUGAGAAUGUUCAUUGCAUCAAAAUUAAGACAACAACUGGCAAAACUAGAAGUUAUAUUUCGGUAAGCCGAACUGUGCGCCGUCAGACAAGAACAUGCCGUACCCCAAUCCAGUAGAGAUCUUUGCGUUUUGUCUUGAGUAUUUUCGUUUCGUCUCUUCAUUGUUUUUAACACUGUAUUUAAGAGCUAUCUUGUAUGCACAUUUUAGUCUGAUGAUGGUAUAGUUCUUACCGAAAUAUAUUUCCCUACUUUUGCCAAUUGUUGUCUGCAUUUCUACAGCGGCAAUGAACAUUCUCGGAUUAUCAUUUAUCGUAGCUCUCUGUAUACUCAAAUUAGAGGGAAGAAAUGGAAAUGAAUCGGCCACGCAUUAAGAAAGCAACGGGAAAGUGUCUCCAGACAGGCCCUCCUCUGGAAACGAAAGAAAGCGAGGAAGUACAAAAGCAAAAAACUGCAGAAGGUCAACCGAACAAGAACUGCGGCAGAUAGGUCUAAAAUGGAACAAAUUAGAAGAAGGAACAUUGUGGCAGCGCUCUACGCUUCACAGAGGAGCGAAGGGGACAGAGAGUGAGGGGCGGGAGGGGAGGGUAGAAGGAGCAACUAAGCAUAGCAUCAAGUCCUUCCCCCUCUCACAACCCCACCCCCCUCAAUCCCUGCGAGUUUGUGCAACCUCGUUCCCGAAGUCCUAUCUUUAGGGCAGAACUGCUCAUAACCGGCGCGAGUUAUUCCUUGUCCCCCUUUUCCCUAAUAUUUAGAACUGGCGUUCAAUUUCAAUCUGGUUAUCUCUAUUGCCUCUGAUAUUUGAUUAUCAUGUGUGAGAUUAGUCCACUGUACUGCCAAUUACACUGUAACCAGUCCUUUUUUAUCUGUAGCUAUAGCUUUCUUUCCAUUUCCUUCCUACGAUUUGUUUACCAGAACUGGAAACACUCUCUGAACACGUUAAAGAAUGCGGGGGUGCACCCGAAUUUUCGUGGAAAAUGUGAAUUUAAUUUUAUUUUGUUUUUCUCGGAAUUUAAUUGCGUUGAAGGAGGGGAGGGGACGGUAAAGAAGAAAUAUCCCACAAUGCCUAUCAAUCGUUUAAUUUGAGAAAUUUUUUCCACGUGCUACAUGUAGAGAAGGUUAUUUGGCUACGAUUUUCAACUUCCUGAUCAGAGAAAAAGAAUGGAGUGUGGGAAUAUCGAGAAGUCGACGCCGAAGCCGCCAUAUUGCAUGCUUAUUGUGUUGUUUAUACGCAGAGAAAUAUCAAGCAUGGAAUGCUACAUGUAGAAUCAAUAAACUCUGUUUGAGAGAGAAGACUGAACAGCUUCAGAUGCCCUGUAUUGAUGAGGUAUGUAUAUGCUGAUUACUUACACAUUCUAAACUUAAGGCCACAGCAGGGAGCCUCCUUAUCAGUUUAAUGGGGAUUCUGGUCAGAAUUUUGAAAAGCACCCCUUUGAGGUGCUAGAAUGCACUUUUUAUGUUGUGGUUCAAGUUAAUUAGUAACUCAAAUAACUGCCUAUUAAUUUUUCACAUUGUGAGUUUGGGAGCAAAUUUCACUCGUUUGGUCUUUCUGCCCUUCACUUCCUGUUGAACUUUUUUUCGCAUACAUGUAACAUGAUUUACUCCCGAGUGAUUUGGUUUGAUAGCAAAGAUUUCUGUCAUUGGAUCAGUUACUAGACAGCUGGUUUUGCAAAUCUGUGUAACAUUUGGUAAUGAUUCAGGGUGCAACAAAAUGCUUUAAUUUAUAGAAACUGACAUGGUUUACAGCAGAGAAUUCUGAGUGAGAAAGUGAACAGAUACUUUUUACCCACAUGGUAUUUGCAUGAUCCAUUUUUUGCCAUGAUAUAGUUUGUCAUCUGAUGUGCAUGUAUGGGUAGUUGAGCUUACAUUUCCUGAAGAACAGAUUACACAAUUGCAAUGUAGCUUCUUGUUGUAGAUGACAAAUUAUAAGCCAGAAUUUUUUAAUCGUUUUGACUCUUAAAAAAUUUGAAUCUUUUCUGAACUACAUGCAUGUGCGGUGAUAAAAGAACAAAGAAAAUGCUCGUUUGUCAUGACUAUCUGCCCCAAUUAAGCCAUAAGUGACAGCAUGCUGCACCAUGCAAUAAGUCAAAUUAUUAAAUUACAGCCAUGCUAUGGUGAGCUUUUUCCAAAAGUUAU